RNAcentral lists this ribosomal RNA (120 nucleotides) under Coniochaeta ligniaria NRRL 30616. The record is from RNAcentral. Lineage: Eukaryota; Fungi; Ascomycota; Sordariomycetes; Coniochaetales; Coniochaetaceae.
ACGUAUGACCAUAGAUACUGGAAAACUCGGGAUCCCGUCCGCUCUCCCAUAGAUAAGCCAGUAAUCGUCAGAUUAGUACUCGGGUGGGUGACCACCGGGGAAUCCCUGAUGUUGUACGUU